Molecule: transfer RNA, 76 nt
Filed under: Listeria booriae
Lineage: Bacteria; Bacillati; Bacillota; Bacilli; Caryophanales; Listeriaceae
Description: tRNA-Phe(gaa)
Rfam family: tRNA
About the family: Transfer RNA (tRNA) molecules are approximately 80 nucleotides in length. Their secondary structure includes four short double-helical elements and three loops (D, anti-codon, and T loops).
Source: RNAcentral
GGCUUGGUAGCUCAGUUGGUAGAGCACUUGAUUGAAGCUCAAGGUGUCGGCAGUUCGAUUCUGUCCCAAGCCACCA